UUCCCUAAGGCCUGUCUGAUGAGAGC
This 26-nucleotide non-coding RNA is filed under the name Rattus norvegicus (Norway rat). Lineage: Eukaryota; Metazoa; Chordata; Mammalia; Rodentia; Muridae. The record is from RNAcentral.